ACUCAAAGGAAUUGACGGGGGCCCGCACAAGCGGUGGAGCAUGUGGUUCAAUUCGACGCAACGCGAAGAACCUUACCCAGGCUCGAACGGCGAGUGACAUCCGGCGAAAGUCGGCUUCCGCAAGGACACUUGUCGAGGUGCUGCAUGGCUGUCGUCAGCUCGUGUCGUGAGAUGUUGGGUUAAGUCCCGCAACGAGCGCAACCCUUGUCCUCUGUUGCCAUCACGUUAUGGUGGGCACUCUGAGGAGACUGCCGGUGACAAACCGGAGGAAGGUGGGGAUGACGUCAAGUCCGCAUGGCCUUUAUGUCUGGGGCCACACACGUGCUACAAUGGCCGACACAAACCGUCGCGAUACCGCAAGGUGGAGCUAAUCGGAUAAAGUCGGUCUCAGUUCGGAUUGCAGGCUGCAACUCGCCUGCAUGAAGUUGGAAUCGCUAGUAAUCGCGGAUCAGCACGCCGCGGUGAAUACGUUCCCGGGCCUUGUACACACCGCCCGU
RNAcentral lists this ribosomal RNA (497 nucleotides) under uncultured bacterium. Its description in RNAcentral is "partial 16S ribosomal RNA". It matches the Rfam family "Bacterial small subunit ribosomal RNA", at positions 899 to 1397 of the family's 1533-position model. The record is from RNAcentral.